UUUUGAACUAGAUUGAUAUUACCAGGUUAGUAGUAGUUAUGUGCUUGAAAAUUAAAGAAGAUGGCGGUAUUUUAGUCUAUUCAGAGGAACCUGUCCUAUAAUCGAUGAUCCACGAUUUAUUAUACUUAUUUUAUAAGUUUGCAUAUCGCCGUAGAUUGAAUGUCCUUGAAGGGAUUUAAACAUUCAAGAGGUUUUUAUUUGUGAAAUUAAAUCAGGUCAAGAUGUAGCUAAUAAAUAAGAAGAGAUGGGUUACAAUAAAUUUAUUUAUAACGGAUUAAUAUAUGAAAUUUAUUAUAAAGGUGGAUUUGAGGGUAAUUUUAUA
Molecule: ribosomal RNA, 322 nt
Filed under: Galapaganus darwini
Lineage: Eukaryota; Metazoa; Arthropoda; Insecta; Coleoptera; Curculionidae
Description: partial 12S ribosomal RNA
Source: RNAcentral